GACGAACGCUGGCGGCAUGCCUAACACAUGCAAGUCGAACGGUAAGGCUCCUUCGGGAGCACACGAGUGGCGAACGGGUGAGUAACACGUGAGCAACCUGCCCUUGACUUCGGAAUAACAGCUGGAAACAGCUGCUAAUACCGGAUACGACUCAUCUCCUCAUGGAAGUGAGUGGAAAGCUCCGGCGGUCAAGGAUGGGCUCGCGGCCUAUCAGCUAGUUGGUGAGGUAACGGCUCACCAAGGCUUCGACGGGUAGCCGGCCUGAGAGGGCGACCGGCCACACUGGGACUGAGAUACGGCCCAGACUCCUACGGGAGGCAGCAGUGGGGAAUAUUGCACAAUGGGCGAAAGCCUGAUGCAGCAAUGCCGCGUGCGGGAUGACGGCCUUCGGGUUGUAAACCGCUUUCAGCACCGACGAAGCGCAAGUGACGGUAGGUGCAGAAGAAGGACCGGCUAACUACGUGCCAGCCGCCGCCGUAAAAC
RNAcentral lists this ribosomal RNA (483 nucleotides) under uncultured bacterium. RNAcentral describes it as "bacterial SSU rRNA". It matches the Rfam family "Bacterial small subunit ribosomal RNA", at positions 28 to 526 of the family's 1533-position model. The record is from RNAcentral.